ACUCAAAUGAAUAGACGGGGGCCCGCACAAGCGGUGGAGCAUGUGGUUCAAUUCGACGCAACGCGAAGAACCUUACCUGGGCUUGAACUGUCUUGGAAGGCGCCUGAAAGGGUGCUUUGCCCGCAAGGGAAUCAAGAUAGAGGUGCUGCAUGGCUGUCGUCAGCUCGUGCCGUGAGGUGUUGGGUUAAGUCCCGCAACGAGCGCAACCCUUGCCCUUAGUUGCUACCAGGUAAUGCUUGAGCACUCUAAGGGGACCGCUAACGAUAAGUUGGAGGAAGGUGGGGAUGACGUCAAGUCAGCAUGGCCUUUAUGUCCAGGGCCACACACGUGCUACAAUGGGCGGUACAGAAGGUUCCAAACCCGCGAGGGGGAGGCAAUCCCAAAAACCGCUCCCAGUUCGGAUUGCAGUCUGCAACUCGACUGCAUGAAGCUGGAAUCGCUAGUAAUCGCGGAUCAGCACGCCGCGGUGAAUACGUUCCCGGGCCUUGCACACACCGCCCGU
RNAcentral lists this ribosomal RNA (502 nucleotides) under uncultured bacterium. RNAcentral's name for it is "partial 16S ribosomal RNA". It matches the Rfam family "Bacterial small subunit ribosomal RNA", at positions 899 to 1397 of the family's 1533-position model. The record is from RNAcentral.